AUACGUAGGUGGCAAGCGUUAUCCGGAUUUACUGGGUGUAAAGGGCGUGUAGGCGGAGAUGCAAGUCAGGAGUGAAAUCUAGGGGCUCAACCCCUAAACUGCUUUUGAAACUGUAUCCCUUGAGUAUCGGAGAGGCAGGCGGAAUUUCUAGUGUAGAGGUGAAAUGCGUAGAUAUUAGGAGGAACACCAGUGGCGAAGGCGGCCUGCUGGACGACAACUGACGCUGAGGCGCGAAAGCGUGGGGAGCAAACAGGAUUAGAUACCCUGGUAGUCCACGCUGUAAACGAUGAAUACUAGGUGUGGGGGGACUGACCCCCUCCGUGCCGCAGUUAACACAAUAAGUAUUCCACCUGGGGAGUACGAUCGCAAGAUUGAAACUCAAAGGAAUUGACGGGG
RNAcentral lists this ribosomal RNA (396 nucleotides) under uncultured bacterium. Its description in RNAcentral is "partial 16S ribosomal RNA". It matches the Rfam family "Bacterial small subunit ribosomal RNA", at positions 523 to 918 of the family's 1533-position model. The record is from RNAcentral.